AACGAACGCUGGCGGCAUGCCUAACACAUGCAAGUCGAACGAUACCUUCGGGUCUAGUGGCGCACGGGUGCGUAACGCGUGGGAACCUGCCUUUAGGUUCGGAAUAACUCCCCGAAAGGGGUUCUAAUACCGGAUAAUGUCUUCGGACCAAAGAUUUAUCGCCUUUGGAUGGGCCCGCGUUGGAUUAGCUAGUUGGUAGGGUAACAGCCUACCAAGGCGACGAUCCAUAGCUGGUCUGAGAGGAUGAUCAGCCACACUGGGACUGAGACACGGCCCAGACUCCUACGGGAGGAAGCAGUGGGGAAUAUUGGACAAUGGGCGAAAGCCUGAUCCAGCAAUGCCGCGUGAGUGAUGAAGGCCUUAGGGUUGUAAAGCUCUUUUACCCGGGAUGAUAAUGACAGUACCGGGAGAAUAAGCUCCGGCUAACUCCGUG
RNAcentral lists this ribosomal RNA (433 nucleotides) under uncultured bacterium. RNAcentral describes it as "partial 16S ribosomal RNA". It matches the Rfam family "Bacterial small subunit ribosomal RNA", at positions 29 to 507 of the family's 1533-position model. The record is from RNAcentral.